RNAcentral lists this ribosomal RNA (468 nucleotides) under uncultured bacterium. RNAcentral's name for it is "partial 16S ribosomal RNA". It matches the Rfam family "Bacterial small subunit ribosomal RNA", at positions 28 to 507 of the family's 1533-position model. The record is from RNAcentral.
GACGAACGCUGGCGGCGUGCUUAACACAUGCAAGUCGAACGGAAAGGCCCUGCUGUUUUGGGGUGCUCGAGUGGCGAACGGGUGAGUAACACGUGAGUAACCUGCCCUUGACUUUGGGAUAACUUCAGGAAACUGGGGCUAAUACCGGAUAGGAGCUCCUGCUGCAUGGUGGGGGUUGGAAAGUUUCGGCGGUUGGGGAUGGACUCGCGGCUUAUCAGCUUGUUGGUGGGGUAGUGGCAUACCAAGGCUUUGACGGGGAGCCGGCCUGAGAAGGUGACCGGCCACAUUGGUACUGCGGUACGGCCCAGACUGCUAUGGGAGGCAGCGGUGGGGAACAUUGCACAAUGGGCGGAAGCCUGAUGCAGCAACGCCGCGUGCGGGAUGACGGCCUUCGGGUUGUAAACCGCUUUCGCCUGUGACGAAGCGUGCGUGACGGUAAUGGAUAAAGAAGCACCGGCUAACUACGUG